AGUGAACGCUGGCGGUAGGCCUAACACAUGCAAGUCGAACGGCAGCACAGUAAGAGCUUGCUCUUACGGGUGGCGAGUGGCGGACGGGUGAGGAAUACAUCGGAAUCUACUUUUUCGUGGGGGAUAACGUAGGGAAACUUACGCUAAUACCGCAUACGACCUACGGGUGAAAGCAGGGGAUCUUCGGACCUUGCGCGAUUGAAUGAGCCGAUUUCGGAUUAGCUAGUUGGCGGGGUAAAGGCCCACCAAGGCGACGAUCCGUAGCCGGUCUGAGAGGAUGAUCGGCCACACUGGAACUGAGACACGGUCCAGACUCCUACGGGAGGCAGCAGUAGGGAAUGUUCGGCAAUGGGCGAAAGCCUGACGGAGCAAAGCCGCGUGAGUGAAGAAGGUCUUCGGAUCGUAAAGCUCUGUUAUUGGGAAAGAAAAAAUGUGGAAGGAACUAUGGACGUCUUGACGGUACCGAAUAAGAAAGCCCCGGCUAACUACGUG
Molecule: ribosomal RNA, 492 nt
Filed under: uncultured bacterium
Lineage: Bacteria
Description: partial 16S ribosomal RNA
Rfam family: Bacterial small subunit ribosomal RNA
Source: RNAcentral